AUAUUAUUUUAUAUAAUAAUAUUAUCUUUAUAUAUAAGAUAUAUGUAUAUAUAUUAUAUGUAAAAAUUAGGAACUUUACGAUUAAGUAUUGCUUUAAAUAAUUUUUAACAUUAAAAAUUAAAUUUACUAUCAAUCAAUACAUAUAUUACAUGAAGUAAUAAAUGACUUCUCCAAAGUUCUGAAACUUAACACCAAUUAGAAUUUAACGAAAAUAUUCUAUAAAUUUAAAAAUAUUUUUAAUACAUUUCAAUAUAUUGUAUUAUUUCAUACAGAUAAUUUGUAUAUUAUUUUGAACAUUGUCAGUAAUCAUUAUCCAAUACCAAACAUUUCUUAAUACAGUAAUAUCCGGGACCUAACAUAUGAGCCGUUUAAAGCAAAAGCAAUGUAAUUCAAUCUUUCGUCUAUUAGGUUUAACACAUCUCGAGAGCGUAACCUUCACUGUCUUUUGUGCACAAGAGAUAUAAGUAUAUCUUCAUUAGUUUUUCGAUGGAUAACAGAAUAAGUGAGAAUCGCCUAUCCAGUCCCUUACGGAAUUCUUACUUUAUCUAUUAUUAUUCAUGAAUCAAUUUUUUUUACUUAUACUAUUUUUGCAUUAAAUGACUCAUAUAGAAGAUAUAUUCAUUGUAAAGUGUAUAUAAUUAAUGUACAAACAAUGUGUUUUAAAGAUCGAGCGACCGAGGUCAACAACUACGCGUCACGAUUAACGAAAACCAAAAUGAAAGUUUCAAAUAAGAAAAGCUCGAGUCGUUUGUUUCCUUGUACAAAGGAGAUUCGAAUAUUGAUAAUUUCGUAUAUGGAUUGGAUACGUAUAAAUUUACACCUCAUGUUUUUUGUCUGAUACAACCAUAUACCAUUAAUUAUGUAAAUUAACUUAUAAUAUAUACAUUGUUUUAAAUGAA
Molecule: long non-coding RNA, 899 nt
Organism: Bombus terrestris (buff-tailed bumblebee)
Lineage: Eukaryota; Metazoa; Arthropoda; Insecta; Hymenoptera; Apidae
Exons: 3
Source: RefSeq, a predicted model, not a curated record